This 545-nucleotide ribosomal RNA is filed under the name uncultured prokaryote. Its description in RNAcentral is "bacterial SSU rRNA". It matches the Rfam family "Archaeal small subunit ribosomal RNA", at positions 187 to 733 of the family's 1478-position model. The record is from RNAcentral.
GGAUGCUCCGGCCGGGAGCCGCAGGAUGGGGCUGCGUCCUAUCAGGUAGUUGGUGGGGUAACGGCCCACCAAGCCUGUGACGGGUAGGGGCCCUGAGAGGGGGAGCCCCCAGAUGGACUCUGAGACAAGAGUCCAGGCCCUACGGGGCGCAGCAGGCGCGAAAACUCCGCAAUGGGCGAAAGCCCGACGGGGUUACCCCGAGUGCCACCCUCGUGGUGGCUUUUGCCCGCUCUAAAAAGGCGGGCGAAUAAGGGGAGGGCAAGUCGGGUGUCAGCCGCCGCGGUAAUACCCGCUCCCCGAGUGGUGGAGGCUAUUACUGGGCCUAAAGCGCCCGCAGCCGGCCCGGUGUGUCCCUCGUUAAAUCCACGGGCUUAACCCGUGGGCUGCGGGGGAUACUACCGGGCUUGGGGGUGGGAGAGGCGCCCGGUAUUCCCGGGGUAGGGGUAAAAUCCUCUGAUCCCGGGAGGACCAUCAGUGGCGAAGGCGGGGCGCCAGAACACGCCCGACGGUGAGGGGCGAAAGCUGGGGGAGCAAACGGGAUUAGA